CAGAGCAUAACUUAAAUUAAAGUAUUCCGUUUACACCGAACUGAUGCCUGGUAACCCGGGCUGCUCUGAG
This 70-nucleotide transfer RNA is filed under the name Pristimantis cf. vanadise CVULA 7184. RNAcentral describes it as "tRNA-Val". The record is from RNAcentral. Lineage: Eukaryota; Metazoa; Chordata; Amphibia; Anura; Strabomantidae.